RNAcentral lists this small RNA (80 nucleotides) under Salmonella enterica. Its description in RNAcentral is "partial RtT sRNA". It matches the Rfam family "RtT RNA", at positions 52 to 130 of the family's 130-position model. From Rfam's summary of the family: This family represents a bacterial cis-regulatory element known as RtT RNA. The exact function of RtT is unknown although it is thought that it may be involved in changing the cellular response in relation to amino acid starvation. The record is from RNAcentral. Lineage: Bacteria; Pseudomonadati; Pseudomonadota; Gammaproteobacteria; Enterobacterales; Enterobacteriaceae.
GCGCAGCGAGAAAGCGUUGCCGCAGGCAACGACCCGAAGGGCGAAGCGCGCAGCGCUGAGUAAUCCUUCCCCCAUCACCA